Molecule: ribosomal RNA, 399 nt
Filed under: uncultured bacterium
Lineage: Bacteria
Description: partial 16S ribosomal RNA
Rfam family: Bacterial small subunit ribosomal RNA
Source: RNAcentral
GAAUAUUGGACAAUGGGCGCAAGCCUGAUCCAGCCAUGCCGCGUGAGUGAUGAAGGCCUUAGGGUUGUAAAGCUCUUUUGUCCGGGAAGAUAAUGACUGUACCGGAAGAAUAAGCCCCGGCUAACUUCGUGCCAGCAGCCGCGGUAAUACGAAGGGGGCUAGCGUUGCUCGGAAUCACUGGGCGUAAAAGGCGCGUAGGCGGACUUUUAAGUCGGGGGUGAAAGCCCAGGGCUCAACCCUGGAAUUGCCUUCGAUACUGGGAGUCUUGAGUUCGGAAGAGGUUGGUGGAACUGCGAGUGUAGAGGUGAAAUUCGUAGAUAUUCGCAAGAACACCGGUGGCGAAGGCGGCCAACUGGUCCGAUACUGACGCUGAGGCGCGAAAGCGUGGGGAGCAAACAG